AUUGAACGCUGGCGGCAUGCCUUACACAUGCAAGUCGAACGGCAGCAUGAUCUAGCUUGCUAGAUUGAUGGCGAGUGGCGAACGGGUGAGUAAUACAUCGGAACGUGCCCUGUAGUGGGGGAUAACUAGUCGAAAGAUUAGCUAAUACCGCAUACGACCUGAGGGUGAAAGUGGGGGACCGCAAGGCCUCAUGCUAUAGGAGCGGCCGAUGUCUGAUUAGCUAGUUGGUGAGGUAAAGGCUCACCAAGGCGACGAUCAGUAGCUGGUCUGAGAGGACGAUCAGCCACACUGGGACUGAGACACGGCCCAGACUCCUACGGGAGGCAGCAGUGGGGAAUUUUGGACAAUGGGCGAAAGCCUGAUCCAGCAAUGCCGCGUGUGUGAAGAAGGCCUUCGGGUUGUAAAGCACUUUUGUCCGGAAAGAAAUGGCUCUGGUUAAUACCUGGGGUCGAUGACGGUGCCGGAAGAAUAAGGACCGGCUAACUACGUG
RNAcentral lists this ribosomal RNA (490 nucleotides) under uncultured bacterium. RNAcentral describes it as "partial 16S ribosomal RNA". It matches the Rfam family "Bacterial small subunit ribosomal RNA", at positions 30 to 507 of the family's 1533-position model. The record is from RNAcentral.